This is a long non-coding RNA of Octopus sinensis (East Asian common octopus), 469 nucleotides long. RefSeq lists it as uncharacterized. The transcript has 4 exons. NCBI's taxonomy places the organism in Eukaryota, Metazoa, Mollusca, Cephalopoda, Octopoda, Octopodidae. The record is from RefSeq and is a predicted model, not a curated record.
CAGACGUUUGCUCAUCCGAACUCAGAAUUUCCUCGUAAAACUGAUCUCUCUUCUUAUUUUCUGCUGUUACAAUCGGGGCAUAGGCACUAAUGAGAUGGUUCCUUCCAGUUUUAGUCCCCACUUCCAUGAUAGUGAUGCGCUCAGAUAUACCUUGAGGAGUACUGAUCUUGUUCAGCAAUCUUCUGUGUACUGCAAACCCCCACACCAUGGAUUCUCCUCUCAUCUUCUCCAAGACCCUUCCAGAAGAAUGUGUGAUUUCUUUCCCUAACGGAACCAGAGUCAGCAAGUCUUGUCUCUUGCAGGGCAGUGAUGUCUACAUUCAGCCGGGUGAGCACCCUGUCAAUGAUUGCCCUUUUCCUGGUGUCCUCUGUCUUGUCCAGGUCGGUAAUGUCCCUUUCAGUUGUCAUUGUUCUGACAUUCCAGGUCCCCAGUUUCAGUGGGAUCAAUUUCAGUUUUCUUCCUCCUUUGC